AUGGUGUAGCAAUACACCGGAAGAUUUAGUGGCGAACGGGUGAGGAACACGUGAGAAAUCUGCCCCGAACUUCGGAAUAACAGUUGGAAACGACUGCUAAUACCGGAUGCCUUCAUUUGACCGCAUGGUUGUUUGAAGAAAGAUUUAUCGGUUUGGGAGGGUCUCGCGGCCUAUCAGCUUGUUGGAGAGGUAACGGCUCACCAAGGCUUCGACGGGUAGCUGGUCUGAGAGGAUGAUCAGCCACACUGGGACUGAGACACGGCCCAGACUCC
RNAcentral lists this ribosomal RNA (272 nucleotides) under unidentified marine bacterioplankton. RNAcentral describes it as "partial 16S ribosomal RNA". It matches the Rfam family "Bacterial small subunit ribosomal RNA", at positions 71 to 339 of the family's 1533-position model. The record is from RNAcentral.